RNAcentral lists this long non-coding RNA (6531 nucleotides) under Sus scrofa (pig). RNAcentral's name for it is "lncRNA (ENSSSCG00005030800.1)". The record is from RNAcentral. Lineage: Eukaryota; Metazoa; Chordata; Mammalia; Artiodactyla; Suidae.
UUGUUGGAAAUGUUUUUUAUUUUCCAGAGCAAUAAUGGAAAGACCUACAUUUUUUUUUUUUUUGUCUUUCUGCCUUUUCUAGGGCCACUCCUGCAGCAUAUGGAGCGGCCCUAGAAAAGUCAAAAUGAAAAAAAAAAAAAAAACCUCUCAACAAAGCGGGUAUAGAGGGAAUGUACAUGUAUAUCAUAAAGACCAUAUACAACAAGCCCACAGCUAGUAUCAUACCUGGUUAAAAACUUUUCUCUAAGAUCAGGAACAAGACAAAGAUGUCCACUUUCACCACAUUAAUUCAAAAUAGAUUUGGGAGUCCUAGCUGUGGCAAUUAAGCAAGAAAAAAAUUUAUCCAAAUCAGAAAGAAAGAAGGAAAACUGACAUUAUUUGCAGAUGACACACUACCAUAUAAGGAAAACCCCAAAGAUGCCAUCAAAAAAUUGUUAGAACUAAUGUAUGAAUUCAGUAAAGUUAUAGGAUACAAAAUCAAUACACAAAAAUGUGUUCCAUUUUAUACACUAAUAAAGAGCUAUUGGAGGGAAAAAUGAAGAGAACAAACUCAUUUACAAUUGCAUCAAAAAGAAUAAAGUACCUAGGAAUAAAUUUGACAAAGAAGGUGGAAAGACCUGUAUAUUGAAAAUUAUAAGACAUUAAUGAAAGACAUAGAAGAAUACACAAAUAAAUGUAAAGAUAUUCCAUACUCAUGGGUUGGAAUAACUAAUAUUGUUAUGAUGUCCACUCUGUACAAAGCAAUCUACACAUUCCAUGCAAUUCUUAUCAAAAUUCCGAUGGUGUAUUUCACCUAAAUAGAACAAACAAUUCUAAAAUUUGUAUGCAACCACAAAAGACCUAAAGUAUCCAAAGUAAACUUAAGAAACAACAACAGCUAGAGGUAUCACAGUCCACAAUUUAAUACUAUACUACAAAACCACAUGAAUCAAAACAGUAUGGUAUUGGCAUAAAUAGACACACAGAUUUAUGGAAGAGAACAGAGGGCCCAAAAAUAAGCCCAAGCAUAUAUAGUCAAUUCAUUUACUAUGAAGGAGCAAAGAACAUACAAUGGGGAAAUCACAGUCUCUUUAAAAAAUGGUAUUGGGAAAAUUGGAUGGUUACAUGCAAAAGAAAAACUGAACCACUAUCUUACACCAUACACAGAAGUUAAUUCAAAGUGGAUUAAAGACUCGAAUGUAAUACCUGAAGCCAUAAACUCUUAGAAGAAAACAUAGGCAGUGAGCUCUUUGACAUAGGGCUUAGCAAUUAUUUUCUCAAUCUGACACCAAAAGCAGAAGCAACAAAAACAAAAACAAACAAAUGGGACUGUAUAAGACUAAAAAACUUCCUUGCAGCAAAGAAAAUUAUCAAUGAAAUGAAAAGGCACUCAUUAAAUGGGAGAAAAAUUUUGUAAAUCACAUAUUUGAUACAGGGCUAAUAUUUAAAAUUUAUAAAGAACUACACAACUCAAUAGCAACCCCCCUACCAACAAUCCAAUUAAGAAAUGGGCAAGAGAUCUGAUAGGCAUUUUUUUUUUCAGAGAAGAUAUACAAAUGGACAACAGGUAUAUGAAAAGAGGCUUAAUCAUCAAAAAUGCAAAUCAAAACUGCAAUGAGAUAUCACCUCGCACCUUUUAGAAUGGCUAUUAUCAAAAGAAAAAAAAUAACAGGUAGUGAGAAUACAGAGAAAGGAAACCCUUGUGUGCUAUUGGUGGGAAUGUAAAUUGGUGCAACCACCAUAGAAAGCAGUGUGGAGGGUCCUCAAAAAAUUAAAAAUAAAACUACCAUAUGACCCAUAGAUUCCACACCUGGGUCCUUAUCCAAAGGCAAUGAAAGCACUAAUCAAAAAGAUAAAUGCACUCCUUGGUUCAUUUCAGCUUUAUUUACAAAAGCCAAGAUAUGGUAACAACCUAAGUAUUCAUCAAUGGAUGAAUGGCUAAAGAUACAGUGUGUGUGUGUGUGUGUGUGUGUGUGUGUGUGUACACAUCUAUCCAUAUACACAUGCAUAUACAAUGGAAUAUUAGUCAGCCAUAAAAACUAACGAAACCUCGCCAUUUGUGAAAAUACAGAUGUUGAAGGCAAGUGAAAUAAUUCAGAGAAAGACAAACACCAUAUGGUCUCUUUUAUACGUGAAAAUUAAACAAAUAAAAAGAAUGGGUAGAUAAGAUGUGGUCAGUGAGGAAGAUGUCACAUAUGACUCCCAUUUUUCUGUCUUGAGAAGCUGGGUGAAGAGUGAUGCCAUUGAGAAGUGUGGAGACCCCAAGCAGAGAAGCUUCAGAGUUUGAGGGGAGAAAUUCAGAUGUGGGCAUGUUAAGUUAAGCUCUCCCUUAAACAUAAAAGUGGGUCAAGCAGGCAGUUGGAUAAAUGAGAUGGAAGCUCAGAAAAGAGGUUUGGGCUAGAGUUUUAAAAAAAUUAUGAAAGUCACCCUGACAGGUUUAUUAAGAGUCCGUGGCCAGGACUUUCAAACCCUGUCAGGGAAGGGAAUUGCGCUGGCUCAUCUUAGGUCCCACUGCCUUCUCUUUCAAGGUCCCAGUGGAGCUAAAAAUAGGAAUUAAUGUAUUUUUCAGAGGCUGCCUCAGUCACCAGCCUUCUGCGUCUCUGAGAGGACCCUGGCUCACACUGUCUCCUCCCUCGGUCCAUGUCUUGUGAGGAUACAUGCUCAAAUUUUACAAGUAAUGCCGAGUGAGCUUUAUUACCCAAAUGAAAAAUCCGUUUUAUGGAAGUUCAAUAUACGAUGAGGUAAGGCAGGCACAAAUAUUUCAAAGUUAGCAAAAGCUAAAACGCCACAGACUGUAAUAUCUAGGAAUGUUAAAAGGGUGUGCUUUCCCUUUGUCAAGUAUUAUUCCAGUCAUGCCAUUUCACAUACCCCAAGCUGUUAAUGACUUUGAUAAUGAGUCCUCCCUCUCAAUCUGGCAUUCUUGCAUCUCACAGCUUGGCAUAUCUAAUUUUUAUAGACCCUUACUUUCUCAAACUCGAACCCAUGGGUUUUUCUCUCACAACCCCAGCACUUUCCCUCCUACAAGGCUCAUAUUUGCAGUUUCUAUCUCUGAAGUUGGUAAAGAAUCUACUCUCAUGACUCUCUUUUCUUUGUACUCACGAUGUUGCAGUGAAAUCUUUGCAGUUUCUCUGCUGGACAUGGGAAAUCACAUCAAAUCUCGCUCCUCCCAAUACAUCUCGGUCCACAGACCCAUCUUGGGAAAAGACAGCCCACAUUGUGUCAGCCUUCUGGUAGACCAUUGGUCUGCCCCUAGACGUUGGGGAAAAGUCCUACAAGUGGCCUCUGAGGUCUUCCUUCCUAACACAUGGCUUUAUCUGCUUUGUCUCUCCUAAGCUCCAGCCAUCUUGGAUUCCUCCCAGAUCUUGGACCAAUCUCUAUUUUCUCCCACCCCAAGGCUUCCAAACAUCAUUUUCUUUGGCUGGAAAAUUUCUUCCAUUGACCUCCCAUUAUUCGUCCUUCAGGUUUCAAUUUCCUGUAGGUGUCUCUGGCCAAUCGCUUCCCCCCACCCCCUGGAACCUUACAGUUUUCCAUAGCGUUUAUGACACGUCCAUAAGCAUCUGCUUAAUUGCGUGGAAAAGGGAGGUACCCGUUCUUGCCGUGGAUGGGUCUCCAGCAGCUUGUAAAAUGCCUGGAAUAUAAUAGCCACUUAAAAGUAUAUUUGGUGUGUAAUUAUUCUCUGAAAUUGUCAACAUCUUCCUAAGGUUUCAUUACAAAUAUCUUCUUUCAGGGGGGCUUUGUAAAAAGAUGAUUAGGUGAGGGUAUGUUUGGGGGGGUGGAGAAUCAAGGGCCAGGGGAUGAUGUAUGGUUUACAGGAUCCAGAAAAAGAACACGAUAAAGCCCAGUGAAAGAUGUAUUUAGGAUGAGUUAACUUCAAAGAAAGAGGAGAAAAAUGCCAAAAAAAAAGGGGACACUGACCCAGAAGAAGGUGGGGGCGACAAGAGGAAUGCAAAGAACAAGCAAAAUCCUCGAUAGAGUUAAUUAAUUUGAGUGGUUCUUGCUUUCUCUAUGACAUUUGAACAAUAUUCCGAAGUCAGUCUAGAAAGAAAUCCCCUGUGUCAGGCCACAAAAUAGAGCUUCCGGGGGUUUAUGCGUCUGCCAUUUCUCCACUUCCCAGACUGGAAAAACACAGUCAGAGAAGCACAGGCUGCUCUUCGGUUCAUCAGGCGUAAAAUGCCUGACAGCUCUCUCGGGAACUUCAUAUCAACCCUCAGAGCACCACAGCCUGUCAGGUAUUAUCACUCCUAGAUGGGUCAGCACUGUGGGUAUCUGGCCCCGUGCUGGUCCAUGGGGUACUUUGCCUCUAGACCAUAUGAUGUCUUUCCCCAUCAUGUUGUGCCAAGAGUCUCAUGUUUUAACUUUGUGAUCUCAAAUCUUUCAUGAGAGGUCAUGUCUCCAUGCUGUGUUGGAAGAGAGAAAACCCUGUUAUCUGAAACUGUACACUGAAAAUAUCUAAAUGGUUGCCCAAAUCUAUCUUCGGCUAUAGAAUAUUGUCUUGGGUGUGAAAUGUGAAUGAAGCUUUAUUACACAUAUAUUAUCUAACUACCACUGUGUUAAGCAUGUUCAUAUUUAGAGGGAAAGUACUAAGCACUACUCUUGUCCAACGCUAAUGAUGUACCUUUUUGACUCUAUUUUUAGUUCAAUGUUGGAUAGUUAAAACAAUUUUGAUAAAGAACAAAGUUGGAGUACUCACCUUUCUGAUUUCGCAAUUGACUAUGAAGCAACAGGGAUCCAGAGAGGUCAGUACUGGCAUAAAGUCAGACAUGUAGGUCAAUGGAAAUUACAAACCUAUCCUGGAUGUGAGUGGCUUUUGGUGUGAGGAAAUGCAAAAUUGCAUUGCAGAGGGUCCAGAUAGAGAGUAGGGUGACCGAUUCUGUCAUCACUAUGCAAUCAUCUAUGUUCUGCCGUAGACAUUCAUCUUCCUUUCACCUAUAAAAUUUCCUCUUCCCCUUGCAUAUCCUCAAAGUGUUAUCUAAUUGCAGCAUGAAGGUCAAAAUUCAGUAUCAUGGGUUCUCCAUCAGGUCCUAAGUGGUUCCACUUUUUCCUUCUUUUUAACCACACCCAUGACAUAUGGAAGUCCCCAGGCCAGGGACUGAACCUGAGCCAUAGCUGUAACCUAUGCCACAGCUGCAGCAAUAGCAGAUUCUUACCCACUGUGCCACAGUUUGAACCCCUUUAGUGGCUCCUCUUGCUUUGGAGAUUUAAGGACCGAAAAAGACAAGAUACCUAUCUCACAUCCGCCAAACAUGCACAUGUGGAAAAUGAGCACGAGACCCUUAAUUAAACAGUCUCAUUUGAAAAGGUAGAAAGUGAGAGACACAGCAGUCAUUGAUCCAUAGCAUUCCAAAGCCUGUUGAGCAAAUAUUACCAGAUCCCCUGCUCUGGCAGUAGGGAGUAAUUCCACUGGAAAAUAUGGCCUUUGAGGAAAUUUCCCAUUUCUUUUUUGCCUGUUGGAAGUGGGAAGCCCAGAAGACUCUCUGAUUCAGGAUAGUUUCACUUUUAGUCUGGCAGCACUUUUGCUUAUGUAAUUCCCUUAAGAAUUUUUUAGGCUUUCUGUGAAUCUGAUUCUAUUUGAUUCUAAAAGUCAAGGUCAUACCUACAAUUCAAGUGAUAGGCCUCCCUAGAUUUAAUUACAACUAUUUAGGGCAUAUCAAUUUCUUGUAGGAUUUCUAGAAUCCCUUAAGAUUUCCAUAAAUUCUUUUUUUUUCAUUUUUUUCUGGCUAUUAGAAGGCUCACUGGGCAUCAACUUAAUUCUUCCAGAAGCAUCAUAAAGAUUGUAUAAACACUCACUUUCUUUUAUCUUCUCCUCAAAUUGUAUUUUACUUUUACAUUUUUUUGCUGGAUAGACAGGCUAAAGAUUAAAAAGAAAAAUAUUUUCCAACCUAACAAGGCCUUUCUCUUCCAUAUUUUUCCUAAAUUCUUUUUACAAAUUAUUCAGUUUUUUUUCUUUAUCUCAUCUAUUUCUAUAUUUUAUUAUACGCAGCUAGAAGCAACUUUUAUCAUGCAUAGCUAGAAACUUUCAGUAUUCUACCUGAAAGUCUUCUCAACCAAAUUCUACUUUUCAUUAGGUACUUUUUUUUUUUCUUCACUUUACAAGUAUAUAAAGUUUUUCCUGAUAUUUCAGUUUGGGUCUCCUCUUUUCCUGCCUCAUAAUACUUUUUAAAAUCUUUAUUUUUUUCAGUCUUUGCUAACAAUUUUCUUGCCAUUCUACCAGCUUUUUCCAACCACCUGGUUCUAAAGUCAAAAUUGUAUAGCUCAAGGUUUUCUUAUGAUAUCAUUUUUCUAGGCAUCAAAGUAAUUACUGACACCAUAAGCCACAAUAAUAUCCCAAGCUUGAAGACCUAAGAAACAAGCAUGUGUUUAAUUUGGAAGUCAGUUCUCUGGCAACCCAGUCAUAGGUCUGCGAUCAGUAGGCUGGUCAACUGGGGACUCUCCUCCUUCAGUGGGUUUUUCUUGGCUUGUUCACAUGGCAUUCUUGGAGCUCCAAGAAUGUGAGCAGAAACAUACGUGUCCUCUCAAGGCUUAGACUAGAAAUUGGUCCCCAGUCACUUCUGC